Molecule: unclassified non-coding RNA, 346 nt
Filed under: soil metagenome
Description: partial contains 5.8S ribosomal RNA, internal transcribed spacer 2, and large subunit ribosomal RNA
Rfam family: 5.8S ribosomal RNA (bases 1-120)
Source: RNAcentral
GAUGAAGAACGCAGUGAAAGGCGAUACGUAAUGUGAAUUGCAGAAUUCAGUGAAUCAUCGAGUCUUUGAACGCACAUUGCGCCCCCUGGUAUUCCGGGGGGCAUGCCUGUCCGAGCGUCAUUGCUGCCCUCAAGCACGGCUUGUGUGUUGGGCCCCGUCCUCCGAUCCCGGGGGACGGGCCCGAAAGGCAGCGGCGGCACCGCGUCCGGUCCUCGAGCGUAUGGGGCUUUGUCACCCGCUCUGUAGGCCCGGCCGGCGCUUGCCGAUCAACCCAAAUUUUUAUCCAGGUUGACCUCGGAUCAGGUAGGGAUACCCGCUGAACUUAAGCAUAUCAAUAAGCGGAGGA